This 436-nucleotide ribosomal RNA is filed under the name uncultured bacterium. RNAcentral describes it as "bacterial SSU rRNA". It matches the Rfam family "Bacterial small subunit ribosomal RNA", at positions 29 to 507 of the family's 1533-position model. The record is from RNAcentral.
AAUGUACGCUGGCGGCACGCCUAACACAUGCAAGUCGAGCGAGGUACUUGUACCUAGCGGCAGACGGGUGCGUAACAUGUGGGAAUCUGCCCUUUUGGUUCGGAACAACAUCGGGGAAACCUGUGCUAAUACCGGAUAAGUCCUUACGGAGAAAGAUUUUAUCGCCGAAAGAUGAGCCCGCACUAGAUUAGCUUGUUGGUAAGGUAAAAGCUUACCAAGGCAACGAUCUAUAGCUGAUUUGAGAGGAUGAUCAGCCACACUGGGACUGAGACACGGCCCAGACUCCUACGGGAGGCAGCAGUGGGGAAUCUUGCACAAUGGAGGAAACUCUGAUGCAGCGAUGCCGCGUGAGUGAAGAAGGCCCUUGGGUUGUAAAGCUCUUUCGUCGGGGAAGAAAAUGACUGUACCCGAAUAAGAAGGUCCGGCUAACUUCGUG